CCUACGGGCGGCUGCAGUGGGGAAUAUUGGACAAUGGGGGAAACCCUGAUCCAGCCAUGCCGCGUGUGUGAAGUAGGCCCUCGGGUUGUAAAGCACUUUCAGUGAGGAAGAACGCCUGGUGGUUAAUACCCAUCAGGAAAGACAUCACUCACAGAAGAAGCACCGGCUAACUCCGUGCCAGCAGCCGCGGUAAUACGGAGGGUGCGAGCGUUAAUCGGAAUUACUGGGCGUAAAGCGCGCGUAGGUGGCUUGAUAAGCCGGUUGUGAAAGCCCCGGGCUCAACCUGGGAACGGCAUCCGGAACUGUCAAGCUAGAGUGCAGGAGAGGAAGGUAGAAUUCCCGGUGUAGCGGUGAAAUGCGUAGAGAUCGGGAGGAAUACCAGUGGCGAAGGCGGCCUUCUGGACUGACACUGACACUGAGGUGCGAAAGCGUGGGUAGCAAACAGGAUUAGAUACCCUGGUAGUC
Molecule: ribosomal RNA, 465 nt
Filed under: Vreelandella stevensii
Lineage: Bacteria; Pseudomonadati; Pseudomonadota; Gammaproteobacteria; Oceanospirillales; Halomonadaceae
Description: partial 16S ribosomal RNA
Rfam family: Bacterial small subunit ribosomal RNA
Source: RNAcentral